Molecule: ribosomal RNA, 497 nt
Filed under: uncultured bacterium
Lineage: Bacteria
Description: partial 16S ribosomal RNA
Rfam family: Bacterial small subunit ribosomal RNA
Source: RNAcentral
GAUGAACGCUGGCGGCGUGCCUAAUACAUGCAAGUCGAGCGAACAGACGAGGAGCUUGCUCCUCUGACGUUAGCGGCGGACGGGUGAGUAACACGUGGAUAACCUACCUAUAAGACUGGGAUAACUUCGGGAAACCGGAGCUAAUACCGGAUAAUAUAUUGAACCGCAUGGUUCAAUAGUGAAAGACGGUUUUGCUGUCACUUAUAGAUGUAUCCGCGCCGCAUUAGCUAGUUGGUAAGGUAACGGCUUACCAAGGCAACGAUGCGUAGCCGACCUGAGAGGGUGAUCGGCCACACUGGAACUGAGACACGGUCCAGACUCCAACGGGAGGCAGCAGUAGGGAAUCUUCAGCAAUGGGCGAAAGCUUGACGGAGCAAAGCAGCGUGAGUGAUGAAGGUAUUCGGAUCGUAAAACUCUGUUAUUAGGGAAGAACAAAUGUGUAAGUAACUAUGCACGUCUUGAAGGUACCUAAUCAGAAAGCCACGGCUAACUACGUG